UGGGGGGGGCGAGCGUUUGUUCGGAAUUACUGGGCGUAAAGGGCGCGUAGGCGGUAUUGGAAGUCAUGGGUGAAAGUCCUCGGCUCAACCGAGGGAUUGCCUGUGAAACCACGGUACUGGAGUGCUGGAGAGGGAAGUGGAAUUCCCAGUGUAGCGGUGAAAUGCGUAGAUAUUGGGAGGAACAUCUGUGGCGAAGGCGGCUUCCUGGACAGACACUGACGCUGAGGCGCGAAAGCCAGGGGAGCGAACGGGAUUAGAUACCCCGGUAGUCCUGGCUGUAAACGAUGAACACUUGGUGUAGGGGGUGAUGAAAGUCCCCUCUGUGCCCGUAGAGAACUCGAUAAGUGUUCCGCCUGGGGGAGUACGGCCCGCAAGGCUG
RNAcentral lists this ribosomal RNA (379 nucleotides) under uncultured organism. RNAcentral describes it as "partial 16S ribosomal RNA". It matches the Rfam family "Bacterial small subunit ribosomal RNA", at positions 526 to 896 of the family's 1533-position model. The record is from RNAcentral.